GCGGGUGUAGCUCAGGGGUAGAGCGUCAGCUUCCCAAGCUGAAUGCCGUGGGUUCGAAUCCCAUCACCCGCUCCA
Molecule: transfer RNA, 75 nt
Filed under: Alphaproteobacteria bacterium
Lineage: Bacteria; Pseudomonadati; Pseudomonadota; Alphaproteobacteria
Description: tRNA-Gly
Rfam family: tRNA
About the family: Transfer RNA (tRNA) molecules are approximately 80 nucleotides in length. Their secondary structure includes four short double-helical elements and three loops (D, anti-codon, and T loops). Further hydrogen bonds mediate the characteristic L-shaped molecular structure. tRNAs have two regions of fundamental functional importance: the anti-codon, which is responsible for specific mRNA codon recognition, and the 3' end, to which the tRNAs corresponding amino acid is attached (by aminoacyl-tRNA synthetases). tRNAs cope with the degeneracy of the genetic code in two manners: having more than one tRNA (with a specific anti-codon) for a particular amino acid; and 'wobble' base-pairing, i.e. permitting non-standard base-pairing at the 3rd anti-codon position.
Source: RNAcentral